AUGAAAUGGUUUGUUGAUCUGUGGCCGGAUGAAAGGUAUCACGUUCAAAAAAUUUUACCCUUCUUUUGUCCUUCAUAUCUAUCACAGAAGGUCAACUUAUUGGAGAGGGAAAAUAGCUUUCCAUUUUUCAAUUAAUUUCAAACUAUUCCUAAAUGUGACUAGCUUUUUCUCGACGAUUCCAAGGAGAAAACUGCAUACAAGGAAAUAAAAAAUAACCCCUAAAGAAAACUCUGGAUUUUCUCCAUAGAAAUCUAAGAAUAUGCACAAUGUUUUCAUCACAGGAUUCCCUAGUUCAGAUACUUGUGUGAUUGACCAUACGAACGCUAGAAUUAUCGCCAUAAUAUGUCAGUUCCAUAACCAUCAUGAAUGCUCGAGGAAUUGGAAUAUCUCAAUUUUAAAGAGCCCCCUCCCCCCUUUGAUUCAUGAUCACAACGUAGCUUCUACGUAAAUUGAGAAAAUCCUGAAACAUCUUCAACUCAAACGCUGUAGAGAUUGCUCUGGCCAGCCAUAUUUCCAGGAACGUCAAAACCGUGAAAAAGCCAUUCGUGCGGAAGAUAAGCUGGUUCUACGGAAUAUAAGAACCUUCCAACGGUUCCUUUACAAAAUGAAAAACUCGCUAAUAAUUUGAGAGCAGUACGGAAACGGGAGAGCCUGAGUAUUAGACCGGAGGCUCACCGGAGGAUCAACGAGGAAUUGUAGGAUGAAAGGGCCUCUUGGUGCUCCGAGCUUCGACGAUACCACUAAGACAUGACUUCAUCCGUGAUGGAUGCCCCAUCGGACCGAGUUUCAGAGAUAUUCUUCCGCAUUCCUUCUUUCUUCGCGCGGCUGCCGACAGGAAGCACGCCUGAAGACCAUCGACACGUCAUGCGUUUUCAG
This 876-nucleotide long non-coding RNA is filed under the name Spirodela polyrhiza (greater duckweed). RNAcentral's name for it is "long non-coding RNA (SPOL_LNC000973)". Lineage: Eukaryota; Viridiplantae; Streptophyta; Magnoliopsida; Alismatales; Araceae. The record is from RNAcentral.